This 496-nucleotide ribosomal RNA is filed under the name uncultured bacterium. RNAcentral describes it as "partial 16S ribosomal RNA". It matches the Rfam family "Bacterial small subunit ribosomal RNA", at positions 29 to 507 of the family's 1533-position model. The record is from RNAcentral.
AUGAACGCUGGCGGCGUGCCUAAUCCAUGCAAGUCGAGCGAACGGACGAGAAGCUUGCUUUUCUGAUGUUAGCGGCGGACGGGUGAGUAACACGUGGAUAACCUACCUAUAAGACUGGGAUAACUUCGGGAAACCGGAGCUAAUACCGGAUAAUAUUUUGAACCGCAUGGUUCAAAAGUGAAAGACGGUCUUGCUGUCACUUAUAGCUGGAUCCGCGCUGCAUUAGCUAGUUGGUAAGGUAACGGCUUACCAAGGCAACGAUGCAUAGCCGACCUGAGAGGGUGAUCGGCCACACUGGAACUGAGACACGGUCCAGACUCCUACGGGAGGCAGCAGUAGGGAAUCUUCCGCAAUGGGCGAAAGCCUGACGGAGCAACGCCGCGUGAGUGGUGAAGGUCUUCGGAUCGUAAAACUCUGUUAUUAGGGAAGAACAUAUGUGUAAGUAACUGUGCACAUCUUGACGGUACCUAAUCAGAAAGCCACGGCUAACUACGUG